AAGAAGAAGAAGAAGAAGAAGAAGAAGAAGAAGAAGAAGAAGAAGAAGAAGAAGAAGAAGAAAAGUAUUUUAUGCAGUGUACAGAGGGCACAGUUGAUUGAUUGGAAAAUACUUUCUCUGUCUAUUCUACUCUAGUGCCUCCCCUUUCAGAGCCACAUGGUUCAGAAUGUUUCCCAUAUGGCCUAGUUAAUCACAGCUGAGGACUUGGAACAUGCACUCAAAGUUAGUGAACUUAGUAACUGACAGAACAAAAGGUCUCUCUGAAAGGUCAUUUCAAACAUCUAAAUCACUGCCUUCCUGCCUUCAUAAUAGGGAGGAUCACAGCUUACUCAUUUGGAAAUUGAACCAGAAAUAGCUUUGUUUACAAGGCCAGACUUGCACAUUCCUUACCUUAGCUAUUUUGGAGGAUAUCUUGAUCUGGACCUGCUCGUCAUUAGAUUCCAGCCCUUCCUGCAAGCCUUGCAGUCUGUCCACCUCCAGGCAAAUGCCUAUAGUUAGCAAAGGGAGAAAGAGGCUUUUAAAACACAACAGAGUUGAAAAGUCUUGCUGUGUUCUAAUGAGACAGUAAUUCAGCUGUUGGAUGCUUUUUUUUCCCUCUAAACAUCUAGAAGGUCACAUGAUGAAGGGGUGACCACAAAAGCAGUUUCUACAGGUAGCUCCAUGCAAUGAUCUCAUAUUCUACGCAUAGAAGUCAUCUGAGGUGUGUUCUUUGCUCCUGUUUCUAUUUUUGCAGGAGAAGAAGCUAUGGCAGCACAGCAUGAAGCCAUUUGCCUGAGGUCACACAGAAAGGGCUGUGUGAAUUUGAACCUGUGUCUGUCUGACAAAAAUGCCAGGGGCUUCUUCUUCUUCUUCUUGAAGUUUCAUUCUGUGUUCUGUGCAUCCGUGUCAUCCCAGAUCAUGGACCUCAGAAGUUUCCCCAGUGCAUCCAUUGAUCGUUCGUGGAGAAACUGAAAUCAAGCGUGACUGUUAGUCUCAGGCUGUCGUGAAAGCAGCCCCCGGGGAACUUUCCUCUCUUCUCAGUCCCUGGUCACAUACCUCAAUGCGCUCCUUGUCCUUGUCCGUUUCACCCCCACUUUUGAGUUUUUCCAGAGGUGGAAGGGGCAGCAACCUCCGAAUGUUCUCUUCAAGAAUGUUCAGGUGGUCGUUUAGUGAGAGCUGAGGUUUCAGUUUGCUGAGAUGAGACCCACAUGGAGGAAAGGAUACAAUUAAACCUGCCAUUAUCCUACUGGGAAAUGCUCAAGAUCUGUCCAUAAAAUCUGAGCAGGUGACAAAUAUGUGACACUUUCUGAAAUAUUUGAAAUAUUGAGAGAGGUGGUGGUAACAGGACAGAUUGGGAAGAUGUUAAGGACCAUUGAAACACUUGUAUUUGUUAGAGUCACGAUUGGUGUUGAUAAAUUCUUUUUUUUUUUUUUUUGGUGUUGAUAAAUUCUUAUUGUUAGCAUUUCCUGUAAAAAAGCAAAGUUGGUAAGGGAUGGGGCAAUUUGUCUCUCUGGCUUUCUUCCCUCUCUCCCUCCCUCCCUCCCUCCUAAACAUUUGCUAUAUAGUUAUCAGAACAAUAACUGACAUGACUUGGGAAAAUGCAAAUGUUAGGUAAAUAUGAAAAGGGUAUUCUUUAAAAUUUGUAUAAAUGUAAAUCAAGACAAUAGGUACAUUUCAGAGCUUCUGUAGUAGGAAAAAAAUAAAAAUGGAGAAUGUGAAAAAGGUACUCAGAGAGGAGUGUGAAUCAGUGCUGAGCUGGGAAGAUUGUUUACCAUCUUCUCAUUGUCGUUGUCUGAUGCUUUUCUUAAUAAAACAGGUGUACUGAUAUAAAAGUGCUGCACAAUACACUGCAUCUAUUCAAGGUCCCCACUUUAACAAAUUUGGACAUGGAGGCAUAAGUGAAAACGACACCAUCAUUGACACAUAACAUUGCUAGCAUCCCUUGAUUUUGUUUCUGUCAAUUUGUGGGCUAUCUUUUUCUCCACAUUGGCCCCACACAAUCAACACAUUUUUGUGUGUGUGAUUAGUGAUUAGUCUAGUUCUGCUCAAACUGAGUAUAGCCAGUAGCCACAUAUGGCCAUUCGAGUUAAUUAAUAUGAAUUAAGAUGUCAUGUGUGACAUAUUCUGCAUUUUGAAAAUUUUGAAUGAAUGAUAAUGUAGUUUGAAAAAUAUUGAACACAGGAUGAAAUGAUAAUAUACUGGAUAUAUUGAGUAAAAUGAAACAAAACAUGCUACUAAGAAAGAAUUUGAUAAUUUUAGUGCUGGGGGGAAGGGUUUUAUGCAUUCAGGUCAAGUACUAUAUUGUACUCAGCUGUUACUGAUUGUAGAAACUUGUUACAAUGUCACAGUAAUCAAAAUUGUGCAGUAUAAGUAUAUGGCUAGACUCAUGGACCUGUGGAGUAGAACACACAGAGCCCAGAAAUAAACCCUCAAAUAAGUAUGAUUGACUUUUGAUUUGGAUGCACACGUUUACUGUGUGCAUUUAAAAGUAUGAAACAUGGGAUAUAUAUAUAUAUAUGAAAACAUUUUCAUAUAUAUAUAUGAAAACGAUGUAAUAGGUAACUUAUAUAAUAGGUUAUAUAACCUCCCCACACUGUAGUAAGAUCAUCUAUAAUUUAUUCAUGGAGCUGAAAUCUUGAAUUAGCAUGCCAUUUGGAUCACAGCUGUUAGUGGGGCACAUUAUCUUCAGACUUAUUGUACAGAUAUCUGUAUUCUGUAUUCUUUGAUCAUCAUUGUUUUAUUUCCCUUAGCCUUGCCUUUAGUACCCAUUGUUUUAUUUUCUUUCUCUCUCUUUGUCUUUGAAUUUUUUCCUUAGAUUUACCAUAUAAUAGAGACCCAAUAGUACUUUUUCUUUCCAUGUCUGGUUUAUUUUAUUUGACAUAAUGUCCUCUAGAUGAACCCAUGUUGUGACAAAGAACAAGAUAUUUUAAUUUUUAAGCUGGAUAAUAUUCUAUUGUGUCUAUAUUUCCCACAGUCUUGUAAACACUUGUCUGUUGAUGGAUAGCUAGGUUGCUUUUCUACCAUGGCUUUCAGGAAAGACCCUGAGAUGAACACUGGAGUUACUUUUCAAGGCAGUGAUCUCAUUUUCCUUGGGUAUCUACCCACAAGAGGGACUAAAGGGUUAUGUGAUAAUUCUGCUUUCAAUUUCUGUUGAAACUUCCAUAAUGUUUUCUCCAAUGCACCAAUAUCCAUGCCAACAACCACACUACAGGAUUCUCUUUUUCUCCCAUCCCCAGCAACACUUACUUCUUUUUAGGUAAUAUAGAUCUUAAUGGGUGCAAAGUGAUACAGUAUUUUUGAUUUUCAUGUCCUUGAUUAGGAGUGAUCAUGAGUAUUUUAUACACAAUUGUUAAACACAGAAAUAAAUAAAAAUGAAAAAAAUGUCAUUUGUGAAAUAUGGGAAUUCACAAGAUGAAGUGAAAAAAAAAAUCAGUGUGAAAGGUCAUAUGGGAACAGGAUCUCAGGUCUGUGAAGAAAUUGAGGACCAGAGAUAAGGACAUAAAAAUGUUGUCAAAUAUGACAAUAGGGGCAUCUUGGGUGAGUUUUGUUAUUUUAACUUUACUUUUCAAAUUUUAACAGUAAAUAGUAUAAUUCUUUAACUGCACUGGAGACUAUAACUCUUAAAAACAUGAACAAAUUUAUUUUCUUUGUUGGGUUUAUCAUGGCUAGCUAACUAAAGCUGGAAUGUGAUGAGAUAUUUCAUAAGUUUUUAAUUUGAGGAUUAAAAUUUGUCUGUAGGCUAAGAUCUUGGAUGAGAAACUUCGUUUUGUGUAGAAAUUUGAGUCUCUUAUCUAUUAAUUAAUAUGACUCCUCUGAGUAGCUGUUUGACCCUGACAGUUAUCAAAUGACCAAUGUCUUAGCCAAUUCGGUAACUCUCAAGGAGAGAAAGCUGUUAUUUGUGAGCCCCACUAAAUAAAUGUGGUUAUUUUGGGGAGGAUAUACUGGAGUCUUCACUGACAGAUAAGUCAGUUGAUAGCCAGGAGGAGGCUGAAAGGGAGAAAAUAAGAUUAAGAAAGAUUUCGGGUGGAGUGGGUGGCUCACAAGCAUGAGAUUCUGAGUUUGCAUCCCUAGAACCCGAAGGAUGGACUCAAGAACCUACAUAUAAAAGCUGCAGCGGUGCUGGGCAUUGGUGACGCAUGGCUUUAAUCCCCGCAUUCGGGAGGCAGAGGCAGAGGCAGGCGGAUCUCUGUGAGUUCGAGGCCAGCCUUGUCUAAAAAACACCACGAAAAACCCCCCCAAAAAAAAAAAAAAAAAAAAAAAAAAAAAAAAAAAAAAAAAAAAAAAAAAAAAAAAAAAAAAAAACUGCAGUGGUGUUGUGCACCUGUAACCUCAGUCUGGUGUGGAUACAGAGAGA
This 4333-nucleotide long non-coding RNA is filed under the name Cricetulus griseus (Chinese hamster). RNAcentral describes it as "lncRNA (ENSCGRG00000026238.1)". The record is from RNAcentral. Lineage: Eukaryota; Metazoa; Chordata; Mammalia; Rodentia; Cricetidae.